GGUAUUUUUCCAAAUGGGGGUAAUUGCGAUCCUGAUCGGGCUAAGGCUCUCAUCCACAUAGACCGAGUUUACCUGAAAAACCCCGACCCACAACUAGGAAGAGGUGAGAAAAGAAGCCUGAAGGGACUAGCUUACAGGCGGCAGACCUAAGGUCGCCAGUGUGUUGAAUCGCAACCGAACCCCCAUGACAAUUUGGGCACAUUGGCCUCUUUUGC
This 215-nucleotide long non-coding RNA is filed under the name Linum usitatissimum (flax). RNAcentral's name for it is "long non-coding RNA (LUSI_LNC007591)". Lineage: Eukaryota; Viridiplantae; Streptophyta; Magnoliopsida; Malpighiales; Linaceae. The record is from RNAcentral.